UGUCAAUGGGAUUAGGCAACAAUCCCGCGGUCACACAAUUAACCCAAGUCAAUAGAAACCGGCGUAAAGAGUGUUUUAGAUCAAUCCCCCUCAAUAAAGCUAAAAUUCACCUGAGUUGUAAAAAACUCCAGCCGAUACAAAAUAAACUACGAAAGUGGCUUUAACACAUCUGAAUACACAAUAGCUAAGACCCAAACUGGGAUUAGAUACCCCACUAUGCUUAGCCCUAAACUUCAACAGUUAAAUUAACAAAACUGCUCGCCAGAACACUACGAGCCACAGCUUAAAACUCAAAGGACCUGGCGGUGCUUCAUAUCCCUCUAGAGGAGCCUGUUCUGUAAUCGAUAAACCCCGAUCAACCUCACCGCCUCUUGCUCAGCCUAUAUACCGCCAUCUUCAGCAAACCCUGAUGAAGGUUACAAAGUAAGCACAAGUACCCACGUAAAGACGUUAGGUCAAGGUGUAGCCUAUGAGGUGGCAAGAAAUGGGCUACAUUUUCUACCCCAGAAAAUUACGAUAACCCUUAUGAAACCUAAGGGUCGAAGGUGGAUUUAGCAGUAAACUAAGAGUAGAGUGCUUAGUUGAACAGGGCCCUGAAGCGCGUACACACCGCCCGUCACCCUCCUCAAGUAUACUUCAAAGGAUACUUAACUUAAACCCCCUACGUAUUUAUAUAGAGGAGAUAAGUCGUAACAUGGUAAGUGUACUGGAAAGUGCACUUGGACGAACCAGAGU
RNAcentral lists this non-coding RNA (735 nucleotides) under Pan troglodytes (chimpanzee). RNAcentral describes it as "Bacterial small subunit ribosomal RNA". It matches the Rfam family "Bacterial small subunit ribosomal RNA", at positions 359 to 1533 of the family's 1533-position model. Lineage: Eukaryota; Metazoa; Chordata; Mammalia; Primates; Hominidae. The record is from Rfam by way of RNAcentral.